This 253-nucleotide ribosomal RNA is filed under the name uncultured bacterium. Its description in RNAcentral is "partial 16S ribosomal RNA". It matches the Rfam family "Bacterial small subunit ribosomal RNA", at positions 524 to 776 of the family's 1533-position model. The record is from RNAcentral.
UACGUAGGGGGCAAGCGUUGUCCGGAUUUAUUGGGCGUAAAGAGCGUGUAGGCGGCUAGGUAGGUCCGUUGUGAAAACUCGAGGCUCAACCUCGAGACGCCGGUGGAAACCAUCUAGCUAGAGUCCGGAAGAGGAGAGUGGAAUUCCUGGUGUAGCGGUGAAAUGCGCAGAUAUCAGGAGGAACACCGGUGGCGAAGGCGGGACUCUGGGCCGAUACUGACGCUGAGGAGCGAAAGCGUGGGGAGCAAACAGG